GACGAACGCUGGCGGCGUGCUUAACACAUGCCAGUCGAACGGAAAGGCCCUGCUUUUGUGGGGUGCUCGAGUGGCGAACGGGUGAGUAACACGUGGGUAACCUGCCCUUGACUUUGGGAUAACUUCAGGAAACUGGGGCUAAUACCGGAUAGGAGCUCCUGCUGCAUGGUGGGGGCUGGAAAGUUUCGGCGGUUGGGGAUGGACUCGCGGCUUAUCAGCUUGUUGGUGGGGUAGUGGCUUACCAAGGCUUUGACGGGUAGCCGGCCUGAGAGGGUGACCGGCCACAUUGGGACUGAGAUACGGCCCAGACUCCUACGGGAGGCAGCAGUGGGGAAUAUUGCACAAUGGGCGGAAGCCUGAUGCAGCAACGCCGCGUGCGGGAUGACGGCCUUCGGGUUGUAAACCGCUUUCGCCUGUGACGAAGCGUGAGUGACGGUAAUGGGUAAAGAAGCACCGGCUAACUACGUG
This 468-nucleotide ribosomal RNA is filed under the name uncultured bacterium. RNAcentral describes it as "partial 16S ribosomal RNA". It matches the Rfam family "Bacterial small subunit ribosomal RNA", at positions 28 to 507 of the family's 1533-position model. The record is from RNAcentral.